This 497-nucleotide ribosomal RNA is filed under the name uncultured bacterium. RNAcentral describes it as "partial 16S ribosomal RNA". It matches the Rfam family "Bacterial small subunit ribosomal RNA", at positions 28 to 507 of the family's 1533-position model. The record is from RNAcentral.
GAUGAACGCUGGCGGCGUGCCUAAUACAUGCAAGUCGAGCGAACGGACGAGAAGCUUGCUUCUCUGAUGUUAGCGGCGGACGGGUGAGUAACACGUGGAUAACCUACCUAUAAGACUGGGAUAACUUCGGGAAACCGGAGCUAAUACCGGAUGAUAUUUUGAACCGCAUGGUUCAAAAGUGAAAGACGGUCUUGCUGUCACUUAUAGAUGGAUCCGCCCUGCAUUAGCUAGUUGGUAAGGUAACGGCUUACCAAGGCAACGAUGCAUAGCCGACCUGAGAGGGUGAUCGGCCACACUGGAACUGAGACACGGUCCAGACUCCUACGGGAGGCAGCAGUAGGGAAUCUUCCGCAAUGGGCGAAAGCCUGACGGAGCAACGCCGCGUGAGUGAUGAAGGUCUUCGGAUCGUAAAACUCUGUUAUUAGGGAAGAACAUAUGUGUAAGUAACUGUGCACAUCUUGACGGUACCUAAUCAGAAAGCCACGGCUAACUACGUG